RNAcentral lists this ribosomal RNA (616 nucleotides) under Neoscytalidium dimidiatum. RNAcentral describes it as "eukaryotic LSU rRNA". It matches the Rfam family "Eukaryotic large subunit ribosomal RNA", at positions 37 to 664 of the family's 3401-position model. Lineage: Eukaryota; Fungi; Ascomycota; Dothideomycetes; Botryosphaeriales; Botryosphaeriaceae. The record is from RNAcentral.
UGCAUAUCAAUAAGCGGAGGAAAAGAAACCAACAGGGAUUGCCUCAGUAACGGCGAGUGAAGCGGCAACAGCUCAAAUUUGAAAGCUGGCCCCCCCGGGGGUCCGCGUUGUAAUUUGUAGAGGAUGAUUCGGCGAGGGCUCCCGCCUAAGUCCCCUGGAACGGGGCGUCAUAGAGGGUGAGAAUCCCGUAUGCGGUGGGCUGCCUUAGCCAUGUGAAUCUCCUUCGACGAGUCGAGUUGUUUGGGAAUGCAGCUCUAAAUGGGAGGUAAAUUUCUUCUAAAGCUAAAUACCGGCCAGAGACCGAUAGCGCACAAGUAGAGUGAUCGAAAGAUGAAAAGCACUUUGGAAAGAGAGUUAAAAAGUACGUGAAAUUGUUGAAAGGGAAGCGCUUGCAGCCAGACUUGUCCGCAGUUGCUCAGCCGGUCUCCUGACCGGCGCACUCUUCUGCGGCCAGGCCAGCAUCAGUUCGGGCGGUCGGAUAAAGGCCCCGGGAACGUAGCUCCUCUCGGGGAGUGUUAUAGCCCGGGGUGGAAUGCGGCCAGCCUGGACUGAGGAUCUCGCUUCGGCUAGGAUGCUGGCGUAAUGGCUGUAAGCGGCCCGUCUUGAAACACGGGAC